Molecule: ribosomal RNA, 468 nt
Filed under: uncultured bacterium
Lineage: Bacteria
Description: partial 16S ribosomal RNA
Rfam family: Bacterial small subunit ribosomal RNA
Source: RNAcentral
GACGAACGCUGGCGGCGUGCUUAACACAUGCAAGUCGAACGGAAAGGCCCUGCUUUUGUGGGGUGCUCGAGUGGCGAACGGGUGAGUAACACGUGAGUAACCUGCCCUUGACUUUGGGAUAACUUCAGGAAACUGGGGCUAAUACCGGAUAGGAGCUCCUGCUGCAUGGUGGGGGUUGGAAAGUUUCGGCGGUUGGGGAUGGACUCGCGGCUUAUCAGCUUGUUGGUGGGGUAGUGGCUUACCAAGGCUCUGACGGGUAGCCGGCCUGAGAGGGUUACCGGCCACAUUGGGACUGAGAUACGGCCCAGACUCCUACGGGAGGCAGCAGUGGGGAAUAUUGCACAAUGGGCGGAAGCCUGAUGCAGCAACGCCGCGUGCGGGAUGACGGCCUUCGGGUUGUAAACCGCUUUCGCCUGUGACGAAGCGUGAGUGACGGUAAUGGGUAAAGAAGCACCGGCUAACUACGUG